Molecule: ribosomal RNA, 497 nt
Filed under: uncultured bacterium
Lineage: Bacteria
Description: partial 16S ribosomal RNA
Rfam family: Bacterial small subunit ribosomal RNA
Source: RNAcentral
GAUGAACGCUGGCGGCGUGCCUAAUACAUGCAAGUCGAGCGAACGGACGAGAAGCUUGCUUCUCUGAUGUUAGCGGCGGACGGGUGAGUAACACGUGGAUAACCUACCUAUAAGACUGGGAUAACUUCGGGAAACCGGAGCUAAUACCGGAUAAUAUUUUGAACCGCAUGGUUCAAAAGUGAAAGACGGUCUUGCUGUCACCUAUAGAUGGAUCCGCGCUGCAUUAGCUAGCUGGUAAGGUAACGGCUUACCAAGGCAACGAUGCAUAGCCGACCUGAGAGGGUGAUCGGCCACACUGGAACUGAGACACGGUCCAGACUCCUACGGGAGGCAGCAGUAGGGAAUCUUCCGCAAUGGGCGAAAGCCUGACGGAGCAACGCCGCGUGAGUGAUGAAGGUCUUCGGAUCGUAAAACUCUGUUAUUAGGGAAGAACAUAUGUGUAAGUAACUGUGCACAUCUUGACGGUACCUAAUCAGAAAGCCACGGCUAACUACGUG